CCCUUGCUGCAACCACUAUUUUUCCAUGAGCUUUUGAUUUCCACGCCAUAGGCUUUUCAUGCACUUGGCUCUUGAUUUUCAUGCACUGUUACUGGGUUUCGUGAUGAACCCUUUGCUGUGGAAUUUAUAGCCAUAAAAUCCUAAGGCCAGUCAAGUCCUAUUUGGACUCUUUUUCCUUUCUUUCUUAUUUUGGUAUGACAGGUCCCAUCACAAGUGGGAACAACAUCAUCAACAAAUCAUCCCCUCAUGUCCAUGUAGGAGAACCAGCAAACCAGCACUAGCUCUACAGCCUGUAAGCUUCUCUAUGGGCAAUGGCUUAGUCAGCACGCCUGAAACAUUGUCAUAUGUGUGAAUCUUCUUCAGCUAUAACAACUUCAUCUGCAAAGCAUCCCAUAUCUAAUAAUAUUUCGCAUCAAUGUGCUUCGACCUCGAAUGAGA
This 438-nucleotide long non-coding RNA is filed under the name Elaeis guineensis (African oil palm). Its description in RNAcentral is "long non-coding RNA (EGUI_LNC012744)". Lineage: Eukaryota; Viridiplantae; Streptophyta; Magnoliopsida; Arecales; Arecaceae. The record is from RNAcentral.